UGAAGUUUUCGGAUGGAUUUAAAACAGCUUAGUGGCGGACGGGUGAGUAACGCGUGGGUAACCUGCCUCACACUGGGGGAUAACAGUUGGAAACGACUGCUAAUACCGCAUAAUGUAUUCUGACCGCAUGAUCGGAAUACCAAAGAUUUAUUGCUGAAAGAUGGCCUCGCGUCUGAUUAGAUAGUUGGUGAGGUAACGGCCCACCAAGUCAACGAUCAGUAGCCGGACUGAGAGGUUGAACGGCCACAUUGGGACUGAGAUACGGCCCAGACUCC
Molecule: ribosomal RNA, 275 nt
Filed under: uncultured Oscillospiraceae bacterium
Lineage: Bacteria; Bacillati; Bacillota; Clostridia; Eubacteriales; Oscillospiraceae
Description: partial 16S ribosomal RNA
Rfam family: Bacterial small subunit ribosomal RNA
Source: RNAcentral